Molecule: long non-coding RNA, 243 nt
Filed under: Gossypium raimondii (Peruvian cotton)
Lineage: Eukaryota; Viridiplantae; Streptophyta; Magnoliopsida; Malvales; Malvaceae
Description: long non-coding RNA (GRAI_LNC007257)
Source: RNAcentral
UCGUUUUCAUUACUGUUUUUGCCUGUUUCCAAAUUUAAUUUUUUUGAUUCUUCGGUUCUUCUAGAUAUAAGAAGAGAGAUAAAAUUUAUUAACAUGCAAGAAAAUAAAGAAAAUAGAAAAUAUAAAUAAAAUAAAAUAAAAUAAAAUUGGGUUGCCUCCCAACAAGCGCUUGUUUAAUGUCGUUAGCUUGACGCCCCAACUAGUAUUGAGGAUGUUCUAGCUGAAUUCUUUCGUUCGUAUGGG